GACGAACGCUGGCGGCGUGCCUAAUACAUGCAAGUAGAACGCUGAAGGAGGAGCUUGCUUCUCUGGAUGAGUUGCGAACGGGUGAGUAACGCGUAGGUAACCUGCCUGGUAGCGGGGGAUAACUAUUGGAAACGAUAGCUAAUACCGCAUAAGAUUGACUAUUGCAUGAUAGUCAGUUAAAAGGUGCAAUUGCAUCACUACCAGAUGGACCUGCGUUGUAUUAGCUAGUUGGUGGGGUAACGGCUCACCAAGGCGACGAUACAUAGCCGACCUGAGAGGGGGAUCGGCCACACUGGGACUGAGACACGGCCCAGACUCCUACGGGAGGCAGCAGUAGGGAAUCUUCGGCAAUGGACGGAAGUCUGACCGAGCAACGCCGCGUGAGUGAAGAAGGUUUUCGGAUCGUAAAGCUCUGUUGUAAGAGAAGAACGAGUGUGAGAGUGGAAAGUUCACACUGUGACGGUAUCUUACCAGAAAGGGACGGCUAACUACGUG
Molecule: ribosomal RNA, 495 nt
Filed under: uncultured bacterium
Lineage: Bacteria
Description: partial 16S ribosomal RNA
Rfam family: Bacterial small subunit ribosomal RNA
Source: RNAcentral